CAGGCUAGGGGUCUCAUUGGAGCUACAGCUGUCAGCCCAUGCCACAGCCACAGCAAUGCGGGAUCCGAGUGGCGUCUGCGACCUACACCGCAGCUCAUGCACCGCUGGAUCCUUAACCCACUGAGUGAGGCCAGGGAUCGAACCGGCAACCUUAUGGUUCCUAGUCGGAUUCGUUUCCACUGUACCACGACAGGAACUCCCCUCUUCUCUUUUAAAGAAUGAAAUUUAUUUAUUACCCAGAGCUGGUUGGCUUCUGUUUAUGUUAGUAAGAGCUGCUAGUUGCUGAUUUACUGCGUGUCGAGCCUUUUAGGUACAUUAUCUCAUUUAGGUCUCACAACAAGCUAGUUUCCCUCCCAGCCGUUUCCUGGCUUUUAACUUAACCUCAUUGAGUCUAUAGCCUGUAAACUGGGCAUAGUAAUAAUAAUAGUAAUAUCUAAAAGAGCUGGGUGAGAUAUAAAUGAGAAGACAAGUGUACAUAAAAUCACCCAGGACUCAAUGAACAGGUCCUCCAUGUCUGUCUUUGUUGCAAGCCAGCGGGACGUGGAGAAACCACAGACGUCCGCCACAGGAGCAGAGACCUGAGACCCUCCUCCCGGCUAAGAGCCUUAGUAACUCACUUCUCCUGGGACCCCUCCUCCAAAGCACGGGGAGAGGACGAAGCAUAAAGACCCUAAAGAACUGUAAUCGCAGCUAGAAUUUUGCCAAGAUUCCCUCCGCCUUUUUUUUUUGGUUUUCAGGUGGGAUAGCUGACAUUUGCUUCAUUUGCUGGGACCAGAGCUCUGAGGAAUCCUUAUGGCCACUCCCAAGUGGCCAGGCCGGUAUUUAAAAAACAGUGAAGAAACACCAAAACAGGACUUUAGCAACAGGUGUUUAAAAUGUACACAUUGUUCACAUUAAUGCUUUUAGUGCGUACAUGUUCCGUGCCUGUAGAGUUAUCUUGAGAUGACUUUGAAAGUCUGAGUUUGAGGUCCCCCCUUCUGGACGGCCUCCUCAAGCAUCCGGCAGACUGACUCUUAACAUUUUUGACUACGUAAUAGGAGGCCUUUCAUCCUACCCUCCCUCCUGCCUUCCUUCCAAGUUUGCUUCUAGACAAGUGUGGGGCAAGUUCAGAGGAACCAGGAAAGUGAUGAGUGAUUUUCGAUCUUCGGGGAUUCCAAUUCCGUGUACGUUUGCCACGUGAUGUUGAGCAAACAAGGAUGUUUUCUUUUCUUUUCUCUUCUUUCUCCCUCCCUCUCUCUCUCUCUCUCUCUCUCUUUCUUUCCUUUUCUUUUUCUUUUCUUUCUUUCUUCUUUCUUUCUUUCUUUCUUUCUUUCUUUCUUUCUUUCUUCUUCUUUUUCUUUCUUCUUUCUUCCUUUCUUCUUUCUUUUUUUCUUUCUUCCUUUCUUCCUUUCCUUUCCUUUCCUUUCCUUCCUUCCCUUCCUUCCUUCCUUCCUUCCCGUUCCUUCCUUCCUUUGUUCCUCCCUUCCUUCCUUCCAUCCUUUUAGGGCUGCGCCUGCAGCAUAUGGAAGUUCCUGGGCUAGGGGUCGAAUCAGAGCUGCAUCUACUGGCCUACACCACAGCCACAGCAACACCAGAUCCAAGCCAUAUCUGCAGCUUGCUGUCACUUGCGGCAACGCCAGAUCCUUAAUCCACUGAGUAAGGCCAGGAUUGGAACCUGCAUCCUUAUGAAUACUAGUUGGGUUCCUAACCAGCUGAGCCACAGUGUAUCACUCCCCAACUCCUUCAAAUCUUUAAUGUAGGUAACAACUGCGUUCCACACAAAAGUGCAACAUGUGAGAUGCCUAAGCUCUAGCGGCCCUAGGG
RNAcentral lists this long non-coding RNA (1803 nucleotides) under Sus scrofa (pig). RNAcentral describes it as "lncRNA (ENSSSCG00000060887.1)". Lineage: Eukaryota; Metazoa; Chordata; Mammalia; Artiodactyla; Suidae. The record is from RNAcentral.